UGGGGAAUAUUGCGCAAUGGGCGAAAGCCUGACGCAGCGACGCCGCGUGAGGGACGACGGCCUUCGGGUUGUAAACCUCUUUCAGCAGGGACGAAGCGAAAGUGACUGUACCUGCAAAAGAAGCACCGGCUAACUACGUGCCAGCAGCCGCGGUAAUACGUAGGGUGCAAGCGUUGUCCGGAUUUAUUGGGCGUAAAGAGCUCGUAGGCGGUCUGUCGCGUCGGAUGUGAAAACCUGUGGCUUAACCACGGGCCUGCAUUCGAUACGGGCAGACUAGAGUUUGGUAGGGGAGAUUGGAACUCCUGGUGUAGCGGUGAAAUGCGCAGAUAUCAGGAAGAACACCGGUGGCGAAGGCGGAUCUCUGGGCCAAUACUGACGCUGAGGAGCGAAAGCGUGGGGAGCAAACAGG
RNAcentral lists this ribosomal RNA (409 nucleotides) under uncultured bacterium. RNAcentral describes it as "bacterial SSU rRNA". It matches the Rfam family "Bacterial small subunit ribosomal RNA", at positions 355 to 776 of the family's 1533-position model. The record is from RNAcentral.